GAAAAAGAGAAAAAGAAUUGCGUGGUGCAUGGAAAUGUUCAGUUAGUUGUGUAGUAAAAACAAAGGGAUCUUCUUAGGUUUUGAGGCUGUGAGAUUUAGUAGCUCUGUACAUGUAUAGACUAUCAUGGUCUGGUCUGGUCUGGUCUGAUUCAUCUCAGGAACUCUAUCUCAUAGUCUGUAAAUUUGUCAAUUAAUUAAGAUCUUGGUUGGUUUUAAUUAGCCUGAAGCUAGGGUUUUGACUGCUAUGCUUGAAGGAGAUUUCUUGUUUAGUGUAUGGUUAAAAGGGGAUAGAUAGCUUUCUGUUUUGGUUGAAGUCUUGCAGAAGAG
Molecule: long non-coding RNA, 327 nt
Filed under: Jatropha curcas
Lineage: Eukaryota; Viridiplantae; Streptophyta; Magnoliopsida; Malpighiales; Euphorbiaceae
Description: long non-coding RNA (JCUR_LNC001697)
Source: RNAcentral